This 68-nucleotide transfer RNA is filed under the name Marmota monax (woodchuck). RNAcentral's name for it is "tRNA.Ala". The record is from RNAcentral. Lineage: Eukaryota; Metazoa; Chordata; Mammalia; Rodentia; Sciuridae.
GGACUGUCGCUCAGUGGUAGAGCACUUGCUUAGCAUGCAUGAGGCACUGGGUUCUAUACUUAGCACCA